RNAcentral lists this ribosomal RNA (492 nucleotides) under uncultured bacterium. RNAcentral's name for it is "partial 16S ribosomal RNA". It matches the Rfam family "Bacterial small subunit ribosomal RNA", at positions 29 to 507 of the family's 1533-position model. The record is from RNAcentral.
AGUGAACGCUGGCGGCAGGCCUAACACAUGCAAGUCGAACGGCAGCACAGUAAGAGUUUCUUCUUACCGGUGGCGAGUGGCGGACGGGUGAGGAAUACAUCGGACUCUACUUUUUCGUGGGGGAUAACGUAGGGAAACUUACGCUUAUACCACAUACGACCUACGGGUGAAAGCAGGGCAUCUUCGCAUCUUGCGCGAUUGUAUGAGCCGAUGUCGGAUUAGCUAGUUGGCGGGGUAAAGGCCCACCAAGGCGACGAUCCGUAGCUGGUCUGAGAGGAUGAUCAGCCACACUGGAACUGAGACACGGUCCAGACUCCUACGGGAGGCAGCAGUGGGGAAUAUUGGACAAUGGGCGCAAGCCUGAUCCAGCCAUGCCGCGUGGGUGAAGAAGGCCUUCGGGUUGUAAAGCCCUUUUGUUGGGAAAGAAGAGCAGCAAGUUAAUACCUCGCUGUACUGACGGUACCCGAAGAAUAAGCACCGGCUAACUUCGUG